Molecule: ribosomal RNA, 653 nt
Filed under: uncultured Smithella sp.
Lineage: Bacteria; Pseudomonadati; Thermodesulfobacteriota; Syntrophia; Syntrophales; Smithellaceae
Description: bacterial SSU rRNA
Rfam family: Bacterial small subunit ribosomal RNA
Source: RNAcentral
AACAAACGCUGGCGGCGUGCCUAACACAUGCAAGUCGUACGAGAAAGGGUCCUUCGGGACCUGAGUAAAGUGGCGCACGGGUGAGUAACGCGUGGAUAAUCUGCCCUUCAGUUGGGAACAACUCAUCGAAAGGUGGGCUAAUACCGAAUAACACUGUGAGACUUUGGUCGAGCAGUCAAAGAGAGCCUCUGCUUGCAAGCCCUCGCUGAAGGAUGAGUCCGCGUACCAUUAGCUAGUUGGCAGGGUAAUGGCCUACCAAGGCGACGAUGGUUAGCUGGUCUGAGAGGAUGAUCAGCCACACUGGAACUGAGAUACGGUCCAGACUCCUACGGGAGGCAGCAGUGAGGAAUCUUGCGCAAUGGGGGAAACCCAGACGCAGCAACGCCGCGUGAGUGAGGAAGGUCUUCGGAUCGUAAAGCUCUGUCAGUUGGGAAGAAAUGCCUGAGGGUUAAUACCCUUCAGGCUUGACGGUACCAACAGAGGAAGCACCGGCUAACUCCGUGCCAGCAGCCGCGGUAAUACGGGGGGUGCAAGCGUUGUUCGGAAUUAUUGGGCGUAAAGAGCGUGUAGGCGGCCGGAUGUGUCAGAUGUGAAAGCCCUGGGCUUAACCCAGGAAGUGCAUUUGAAACUGUCCGGCUUGAGUAUGGGAGAGG